GGCGAGGAGGUCCGUACACUCACGGCCGAGGCCUGUGGUAACCUGCCUCUGCCCCGCCGUUGAGGGGCGCCAGUCGACCCAGCGCGGUACCUCCUGCCAACGCUUUCCCCGAUCGCCCCGCCGGCGGCCCCGCGGACAGAUCAUUGCUCUACAGUUGGCCACCAGACCCGUGCUGCUCCCCUGGAAUUCCAACCAGCCUCCCCAGAACCACUGCUGCUACCACCAGGCUGGGAAGGAGGAAGAAGGCUGCCCUCCCCUUUUAUGAUGACUUCUUUCCAGACCCUUGAGCUAAAACCAGACCACCAUGUUUGGCAGCUAAAACUUUGCUGAGGACCUGGGUGAUCUCACCGAAAGCCGUAUGAGGAAGAUGAUUUGAGGAAUCGAGAAAGUGGACCCAAGAAUACCAACUCCCAGCCAGCCCGCCGCCUCAACUCCAAUCUUGGGGAACCUGUGUCUGGAGGGGACCCAGCUCGCCCACCCCUGCGGAUAGGGGUUGGAGGAAACCGGCUUUGCU
Molecule: long non-coding RNA, 514 nt
Organism: Balaenoptera ricei (Rice's whale)
Lineage: Eukaryota; Metazoa; Chordata; Mammalia; Artiodactyla; Balaenopteridae
Exons: 3
Source: RefSeq, a predicted model, not a curated record